Prinia subflava (tawny-flanked prinia) is the source of this 4898-nucleotide long non-coding RNA. RefSeq lists it as uncharacterized. The transcript has 3 exons. Lineage: Eukaryota; Metazoa; Chordata; Aves; Passeriformes; Cisticolidae. The record is from RefSeq and is a predicted model, not a curated record.
UAGUCUGAAAGUCACACAAACUCACAGAAAAACUUUUAAAAAAAUUCUUUAUCCCACUAUCAAAUUCAUCCUUAGUGACCAGACCACAGGAAGCUCCCAUUCUCACUCUCAGGUAGCUCCAGCCUAGCACCUGUUUGAAGCGGGCUUCACAUUUUCAACAUGUUAUUGUUAAGUUUUGUUACAGAAAACAAAACAUUCAGCCCUUCAAACAAAAAACAAUGCGAAUACUGGCCUUGGGCAAAUCCCAAACCAACAGUGCCUGCCUUCCUGGAAGAAUGGACAUUGUUAUACAACAGGUGUGCUAGCAAGCAGAUGGGAAGGGGUUUGCAGUGCACGCACCACAGCUGUGCCCUGUACAGAACAUACAGGUUCAACAGCCAGACCAGGAACUGCGUUCCUCACUGUUCGGCACAUGAUGUUCCCUCUAACCUGUGCUGCCCUGGAAAUUUUAAUUACUCCUGCUGCAGCUCUCCAUGGCAGUCACACCUUCAAACUUACCGAGAUUCACUGCUGCAAUGCAUGCUGCCCUGGGGAAGCUCCUGUGCGGAAGCUUCAGCAAACUCUGAGUGCAGAAAUGCAUCUGCAGCACUGAACACAACCAACACUACAUGCUCCAUCUAUUUCCUGCCAUGAUCAGCUUUGCUCAUUGCCUAAAAUACUCCCACACACACAGCAGUUGUACCAAGCAUCUCCCACAUGUCAGUGGGCACAACUUAACCUUACCUGUCUUCCUACACACAGGAACACUAGACUCCUCAGGAAAAGCAUCAAGGCAACUUCUAAAAGAUAGGACUACUAAAGCUACAAGACAAGAAUUUAAACAGAAGUACCAGAAGACAUUUCUCAUUACCUACACCAUCUCUUUCGUUUGGUUUCUCAUAACAAUUUUUAGGAUACAAGCAUACUAGGAACAAACUUGCCCCCCAACUGUUAGGCAUAUGAAGUCCAAACUAUAAGGUGUGGCAGUUCUUGAUUUCAGAGUGGAUGGAUCACUUUUCCUAUAAAUAAAAUAUAGAGGGUCUGUCAUGUGCCUGCAUCUAACCAAGUGUGCCUUACUUCAUACUUUGCUCCUCUCAAAACUGAUAUCCUCCUGUAUGGGACUGUUCAGGCCUCUACAUUUCAGCAUCUUUUCCUAAAUUAUUCCAUGGUUACAGUGCUUUUAAAGUGAGUGACAGAGGUUAAAUAGGGGCAUCUUCUAUCACACUACUUCUCCCAUUUUACUCUUAUCUUAGUUAUCCAACAGAUGGACGCUCUUCACGUGUCUUGUCAAAAGCAGAAUUACAAGUAAAAGUCAAGAGCAGAAGAGAAGCACACAGGCCUUGCCAAAGGGGAUACAGUAGUCUCAAAACAUCUCCAAACAUACCUCACCUAAGAGAAGUCAUCACCCCAGAGGAGCUACCCCAGGAACACUACCUCAGACCAUCGCAACCUGAAAGAAACACUGCACCAGGUUCUGUAAUUCCUGCUAAUUAGUUCUUAAAAAGCACCAGUUAGAGAUGUACUCGAGGACGAGGAUACAGUGCUUUCCUUGAGACGGACCCAAGCAUCAGUAAUUUAAUGACCUAACAGUGGGAAUUCAGAGCCUACAUCCAACCUGAAAAUGCCACUCUUAUAGACCAGAUAAUUAAUAAAACAAAUAAACUGCAAAGAAGUCAGAAAGCUGACACGAACCUUUGGCACCACUUUCAGAGUUUCUCUAUCAGCAGCUAUUAAAACUUCCCCACGUAAAACCAAGGCCAGGGAGGGAGGAAGCUACAAACCUCACAUUUUUAAUUAGGGCAAAUAUAUCUACACUGUUUUGCUGCAAACUAUUGCUGCCUAAAAGCAUUCCCAACUGAUUUUACUGAUCAUCAGAACACUGAAUGCAGGAGGAAAUUUCUGAAACUGCAGAGUGCAACAUGUACGUGCUUUCAGUGGCCUUGCCUGCAACAAGAAGGUUUUGAUUUUUUUCUUUUUUUUUCUGUGGUCCCAACUCAACAUCAUUACACAUGCAAAAUAAUAUAGCAGCCUGCUUCCUAGAAGUGUCCAGUGCAUGUGUGAGAUUAGCUCUUAUGAAAUCUCAAAGCUUAUCUUGAGAAAAUACUGUUAGAUCCAACAACAGACUGAAUUACAGACCAGUAGCUGUAUUGCAAACUAAGCUCACGGACGUCGCCUCCUUCUUGACUCAGGCUCACAGAAUUCUAUUGACUCAAGUCAAUGAUGCAUUGAUACAGGUUAUGGAAGAACAAAUUCCAUAGAAUAGAGAAAUUAAAAGCAUCUUUACUUUAAUUUCUAGUGAGUGACUUUGUAUUAUCCCGUUCUGCUUAGAUAAAAGUGGUGGAAACCUGCAAAGCCAGGACACAUGGCAUUAUCUGUAUCAGAUAAAAGGUGGAUGUGCAGUAGGACAGGUUUAAUAGCUCACUUCUCCCAAACAGUUUGCUUCCUCUUUCCUGUCUGUGGCAUCUAGUCACACUAAUCCCUCAUCUUCACCCUCUCCUGUUCCAACCCUGACAGGUUCCAGCUGCUUUAACUUAUUGAACAGUUUUAGCUGUUUCUAGUUUUCUGCUGUUUAUUUUGAGUUAGUGCAGCUCAGAGAAGAGUUUGAUCACUGUUCCUAGACGAAGAUAAGCAGUUGAAGAAAGACCUCAUUUCAGCACAAGCACUGUGAAUUUGGCUUAUCUCGUCUUACAGAACUGUAUGCUAAGAUGUGCUUUUCACCAGGCUACAGCUAAGUAGGGAUGACUUCUGCCGAUACCGAUGCCAUCUCCGCACGUCUCCUCCCAGCGCUACACCCGCUCCCGCCUCAGGAAGGCAGGAGGGAACACAUCUUAUUCUGCCAUCAUGGUCUAUGUGAAGGAUAACUCAGGGUGCAGCAAUUUCCUGCUGUACUCUUCCAUUUGUGCCUCUUUGCUCUGAAUAUAUGUCUUUAAUUAUAGGCCACAGAAGUAACUUAUUUGUUUAACCGUGGCCAGGAAACAUACCCAGGGGAGAUCUCUGAACAUGACCACACAGCUGAUAAAGAUUAAUGUUAGGUGAUAGAACACUGGAAGAGGCUAUUCUCACGUUUGGGUCAAUAUGUGCUAUUCAUAGCAUGAGCAUUAAGUAAAGGAAUAUCAGCUUAAUUUGUGCUAUUAUAUUUAAUGAAGUUCAGCAUUUACUUUUCCUCUAAAGACUUCCAAGGACUGCAUUAACAUCACUGUGUGCUCUGGCAGGCAGGAGAGCAGUGUGGUGAGUUUAGCACGACAGUCACAUCAGAGCUUUCUAAGGGCAUUAUGUCACCUCUAUGUUUUAUUAUUAGGCAAAGCUAAUGGUAUUUGAGUUAGUCCCCAUGGCUAACACAGAAUUCAUUAUAAGUUGGUAUAAAUCUCUUUCCUGCUAGAAGUGUUGAUAUCAGCUGUGGAAUCUAAUAGAGACAUCAGUAGUAAUUUAUAAAAGAAAAGAAGCUCCAAGGCUAUUGUUGGUAUUGUUGUGGUUUAUCCAACAGCUCCAGAUCCCUGCUGUGCUGUGUCAGAAAUAACAAAGCAGCUCCUUUGCUGACAUCUGCACUUCCAUUCUCACCUCCAUUAAUUCCCUGCAUUGAUUAAAAAGUAAUAAUAAUAAUAAUAAUCCCAGAAAUAUUUAGGAAGUGCAGAAACCCAGCUGCAUCCUGCACCUGACGGGCUAAUGUGUGUGUAAUAAGCCCAAGCCAGGAAGCUCCUCAUCUCCCUGAGCAGCUGCCUCCACAAGGCUGCUUCCAAAUCCCUGCAGCCUGGCAGGAUUUCUUCCUUUAUCCCUUGGCUGUUCAUCACCUCUCCCCUGCUCGCCAACCACUUCAGCCCACCUGGCACCCAUUCUGUGGGAUCUCCAGGGCCAGGACUGCCUCCUGCUUCCCCUGCAAGGCCUUGCUGCAAUGUUAAUCCAGAGGCUGAACUUCCCCAGUACCAACAACCAUGAAAAAGAAACCAACCCAUAUACAGCAAUAACUUCUGUGUAGAAACAGGAGCUUAUUGGGAAAAUCUGGUUUUCUGUUUUGGUAUGUUGAAUCACACUGUGGCUCUGGGGGAGCUGAAACCACUCCAGGAGUUCUAGAGGCUAUACUAAAAAGAGCCUGAUUUAUUGUGCUGAGGAGCAAAACCAUCCCUGGCUGUGGGUAAUAAACAACCAUCUAUGGAGGCAAAGAAAGCAGCGAUGUUUAAGAAUAUAAAACUGAAUGUAUUUCUUAGUGACACAAUUAUUCAAGGGAGCCAAGCCAGGGAGUGCUUCACAUAGUGUAGUACAGCACUGCCAAGCUCUAGACCAGCACCUUGCUGGACCAGCAUCUGCACCAGCAUAGGGCAGUGAGAAACACCCUGCCCGAGGGAAUUAACAGCCCCACUGAAUACCAACAGAAGACCUAUAGAUACCAGAAGAUAAAGAGAGACCUGCACUGAAUCCCUGUGGAUGAGCAACGUCUGUGUGCUCCAGAGUAGGACCAGCAUCCUGCAGAAAUAGUUUCCCCAUCUUGGGGAAAUUUUCAAUAUUUUAUACUUUUCUGCCCCUUAUCAGCCAAAAAUUCAAACUAAGGAGAAAUGAAAAUCUCAGAUAUUAGGUUUUGAACAGAAGUUCCUAAAUUACUCUGCGUAACAGGCAGAAGGAGAUAAGACUUAAGGCCUUGUUUAGAUCUUUGUUCUAAAUUUAGAGCUUUUACUGGCUGUAAAUGAAAUCCUUAUAGUUGCGUAUACACAAUAUUUUUCCUUCUCUUGGUUUAAUUUUGGGAUUGGUAAAUAUGUAUUACGAAGUAAUUGAAAUGUUGUAGUCCUAGAUUAAACUCCUCUAGUGGAAUGAAACUGAAGGUUUCUGCUCCUGCUUUAGAAGAAUCCAGUGUGAAUGUUUCAUAGUAGCAGCAAAGCCAGAAUUACAGGUUACGCUCCCAAUUUGUGUGCAUGACUAACACCGGGAAA